AUGGGUUCCACCGUAGACGUCGUUGUGGCCCUUGAUGGUAGUGGCAACUACCGCAGCAUUAGCGCCGCCGUCGCUGCCGCGCCACGCAAGAGCAUAGUUAGGCACGUAGUCCACAUAAAGGCUGGAGUUUACAAUGAAUACGUGUCUAUAGGCAGCGAUGUCUGGAACAUCACGCUCGUCGGAGAUGGGAUGGACCGAACCAUUAUCUCCGGCAACCGAAGCCGAGGCGGUGGCGUCAAAACGGUGGACAGCGGCACCGUCAGCGUUGAUGGCCGGGGCUUCGUAGCCCGCGACCUAAGCAUUGAAAAUACAGCAGGGGCUAUCAAUCAUCAGGCUGUCGCGCUGAGAUCCUCCUCCGACAACUGUGCCGUGUACCGCUGCGCCAUCACGGGCUAUCAAGAUAGCCUCUACGCGAAGGAAGGAAAGCAAUUUUACAGGGAGUGCCGCAUCUCGGGCACAGUCGAUUUCGUCUUCGGCGACGCGGCGGCCAUCUUCCAGAAGUGCUCCAUCAUCGCGCGCAAGCCGCUUAAGGGCCAGGCGAACGUCCUCACCGCGCAGGGACGUGAACGAGCCGACGGUCCGACGGGGUUUGCGUUCCUCUUCUGUGAAGUACUAGUUGCCAACGACGAGCUCCUUCAUGCUGACUUCGCUGUCGAAACAUUCCUUGGCCGGCCGUGGCAGCCUUACUCCCGGGUGGUCUUCCUCAAGUGUAGUCUCCAGGGAUUCAUCAAUCCAAAGUGGUGGCUCCAAUGGGAGGGCCACACCGACGUCGACAAAAUGUUCUACGGCGAGUACAGCAACUCCGGGCCGGGCGCCGACGUGACAGGCCGGGUCAACUGGCCCGGGUUUCACCUCUUGCAAGAUGCCGAAGCUGCCAACUUCAGUGUGGAGAAGUUCAUUCAGGGCGAUGUUUGGCUACCGGCCACUGGAGUGGAGUUCACCCCUGGACUUGGCCAGUGA
Molecule: ribosomal RNA, 960 nt
Filed under: Triticum aestivum (bread wheat)
Lineage: Eukaryota; Viridiplantae; Streptophyta; Magnoliopsida; Poales; Poaceae
Description: partial small subunit ribosomal RNA
Source: RNAcentral